CCUACGGUAGGCAGCAGUGAGGAAUAUUGGUCAAUGGUCGGGAGACUGAACCAGCCAAGCCGCGUGAGGGAUGAAGGUACAGAGUAUCGUAAACCUCUUUUGUCAGGGAACAAAGGCGGGGACGCGUCCCCGGAUGAGUGUACCUGAAGAAAAAGCAUCGGCUAACUCCGUGCCAGCAGCCGCGGUAAUACGUAGGGUGCGAGCGUUAAUCGGAAUUACUGGGCGUAAAGGGUGCGCAGGCGGUUGAGUAAGACAGAUGUGAAAUCCCCGAGCUUAACUCGGGAAUGGCAUAUGUGACUGCUCGACUAGAGUGUGUCAGAGGGAGGUGGAAUUCCACGUGUAGCAGUGAAAUGCGUAGAUAUGUGGAAGAACACCGAUGGCGAAGGCAGCCUCCUGGGACAUAACUGACGCUCAGGCACGAAAGCGUGGGGAGCAAACAGGAUUAGAUACCCUAGUAGUC
RNAcentral lists this ribosomal RNA (460 nucleotides) under uncultured bacterium. RNAcentral's name for it is "partial 16S ribosomal RNA". It matches the Rfam family "Bacterial small subunit ribosomal RNA", at positions 338 to 795 of the family's 1533-position model. The record is from RNAcentral.